This 458-nucleotide ribosomal RNA is filed under the name uncultured bacterium. Its description in RNAcentral is "partial 16S ribosomal RNA". It matches the Rfam family "Bacterial small subunit ribosomal RNA", at positions 338 to 795 of the family's 1533-position model. The record is from RNAcentral.
CCUACGGGAGGCAGCAGUGAGGAAUAUUGGUCAAUGGGCGAGAGCCUGAACCAGCCAAGUCGCGUGAGGGAGUACUGCCCUAUGGGUUGUAAACCUCUUUUGUCGGGGAGCAAAAGCCGGACGUGUCCGGCUGUUAGAUUACCCGAAGAAAUAGCAUCGGCUAACUCCGUGCCAGCAGCCGCGGUAAUACGGAGGAUGCGAGCGUUAUCCGGAUUUAUUGGGUUUAAAGGGUGCGCAGGCGGAUUUUUAAGUCAGCGGUCAAAUCGUGGGGCUCAACCCCAUCCAGCCGUUGAAACUGGGGAUCUAGAGUGUGCGAGAGGUAUGCGGAAUGCGUGGUGUAGCGGUGAAAUGCAUAGAUAUCACGCAGAACCCCGAUUGCGAAGGCAGCAUACCGGUGCACAACUGACGCUCAGGCACGAAAGCGUGGGUAUCGAACAGGAUUAGAUACCCUUGUAGUC